RNAcentral lists this long non-coding RNA (1492 nucleotides) under Calidris pygmaea (Spoon-billed sandpiper). RNAcentral describes it as "lncRNA (ENSCPGG00000002511.1)". Lineage: Eukaryota; Metazoa; Chordata; Aves; Charadriiformes; Scolopacidae. The record is from RNAcentral.
AUGAACUCAGUGAUGAUGACGACUGUGGUUGGCACCUCUGAUUCUCAGAUGCUUUCUCUAAAGGAUAUUGUUCAUCCAUUCCUUUGCUGUCCAGUGGAAACCCUUCACAGCGGGAGACCACUGCAAAUCACACCUGCUUCUUGCUCCAGUAACCGCUGUAAUGCUAGCGAUGACCACAGAUUUGUGGGAGGAGGAUCGUGCUCUCCAUCCCGGCCUUCACAUCGGUGCGGUGGGACGAGAUGGGCUCAGCCAGCAGAACAGGUCACGGCUGCAGGAAGGGGGAGGAAUAAAUACAUUUUAGGAAGAACCUUGAACUCCAGAGCAGGAGUGCUGAAGUACUGUUCUACCCAGGGAAGCGGAAAGCAGAAGCAAGCUAGGCUGGAUCACCCGCGGUGCUUCUCCAAGGAUGUCUUCCAAGAUACAUGCCAAAUGGAGGAUACGCACACAGUGCGGUGCAGGCUGCGGUCCAGAACCCAGUUACGGUGGCAAUAAUGGCUGAAUGGAAAAUCCUGAAGGACAGGCGUGGACACUGGAAGGUCCUUGGGCUGGGAAAGCACCUGGAAGAUGCAAGAACUUCCAUGGGGUGUGGCUAGCUUAAGAACACAAAGCUCCCUUGGCACUUACGUAUCUUGUUCCAGCUCUGAUUCAGAGGAUUAAGUUGCCUCCUUUGGGAACUUGAGAAUGCUAUAAAAGAUAAACAAUUUUUACAGUAUUUUUUCUCCUGGGCAACAUGCCUUGGCACAGAGGGAGUGCAAAGAAGCAAAGUCUAAAGCCGGUAUUCUGGAAUAGCCAGAUUGGAUGGCUUUUCCAGCAUGUAUAUGGACACUCAGGGAUCUCUGCAGCAGUACUUGCAGGAGCCAGAAUGACUUAACAGAACAAUCUAAAUCUUUGUAGAUAUGACAACAGAAAGAAAUGUUUUUUGUUCACUGCCAUCUCCUGAGCAAGCGGACUUCAAAAGCCCCUUCCUAAGAGGUGUCAUGAAAACUGCAACUUUUUCAGGAUGUGGCAGGGCAGUUGUUGAGCAACAAAAACUAUCAAAAUAUAAUAGCAUGCCAGAUUGACUUGCUGCAACUUCAGACUGAAGUAAGAUUCCUGGUCUAUAACACUUGAAAGGGAACACUGAAUGCAACAUUCGUGAGCACUUGUUUGAGCCAACUGUGCUCCAUUCUGUUGUUGUGUCUUGCAGACAUAGGGCAAGGUUCACAGAGCAGAAGUUCCAGCACUUUCAAGAAACUGAGUGGCAUCUUACUUGCAUUGAGCCUGAAAGCAUCUUUGGCCCGUGUUUUCUUCCGCUUAUGCCAGCCCUGUAAUGGUCAGUAUUCUGGGAGAAGGGUAAAAGAAAAAAAGAAAAAAAAAGGAGUGGAAAAGGCAGAAACAAAGGAAAUUAAGUAAUUCUGCAGGCAGUGUAACAAAGUACAUUGGCUUCCAAUUACUUUAAUCUUGAGGAUAUGGCCCCGUGAAGAUUCUUUGACAUCUAACAAAGUGUUGGAGU